GAAAGAACAUGAGGUCUAUGCUCUUAUAAUACCCCUUUCCUGUUCUGAUUACCUGUUCCUUCUGCAGUCAAGGAUGGCACUCAAAUGUCUAGCUGCUGUGCUGCCACAGGACCUACUGUUUGCAGGCUGCCUUGUAUGACUUCUACAUAGGAUCUGCUGUCUAUCUGGUGUUGACAUAUGCCACACACUGAUGUGAAGUUCCUUACUUGAUUUGUAUUGAAAGAAAAAGGGUCAGAAUUUUUUCUAUGCUAUAAUCAGGCAUAGAGCUUUGAACAAAGAUCAAUGCCAGCAUCCCACUCUGGAGGCGCCUACACUUCAAAAUCCUUCCCUAUCAGACAAGAUUCCAAAGGAUACUCUUGAAUUUCUUCUGUGGUAAAAAUGGGAUAUUUGGCAGGGGCAGUGGUAUGUAUUUACAUGACUGACACAGUGAGAAAUGUUUUCACAAGUAAUGGCUGAAGGUAGGAAGAGGCUGCUCACCUAUCUGCACUCCGCCACUUGUGUGUUUAAGAGGUCACAUUUUCUUUAAAUAACAAGUUCAACAUAAGUCUACAGGAGAGAUGUUUUCUUCUCCCAGCACAGGCAUAAUGUACACCUUCAUGUAUCUCACAUCUCAGAGCAGUAACAUACUCCAGGGCAAGUCACCUUCUUGAUCAUCCAUUCUCAGGAUGGCAUUGUUACCCAUGGAGCAGCUAACCAGAGAGCCUUGAUGUUCACUCAGUGUGGUCUUGUAGGUGGAUGUGAGUAUCACAUCCAGGCUAAGUGAGGGACCUUGAACACACAGAAGCUAUAGUUACUCCCUGUUAUAUAUAAUAAUAUUUGUAUUUACAGGAUGAGCAGGAGGCCUGAGCAUCUGUGUGUGAUUUACUGGUUACUGACCUGUUAAAUAUUUGUUGCUAGGGAAUGCUGCAAUUGUGUUUUCACACAAUGAAAGUGCCCUGGUUGUAAAAAUCACCUUUGUACUACUUAUAGCGCAAGGAAUGUCAUAGUUUCCAAAUCCACUUAACCACCUAAGUAAUAUACUUUAACAUGAGAAUCUGAUUCAUUUUGCAUUUUAAUAGGUAAAUGCAGUGCAAAUUUGAGACAUAGCAGCAGGCAUUGCAUUUGUAGCUAAUUAAGGAAAACUGGAUUGAGCCCAGAUGUGGAUUAUGCAAAGUGAUUACUGGUGUUCCUUAGAAGCUAAUAAUUUUGAAAGCAUUUCCUUGUGCUUGUUCACUUUUUAAGUAUGCCAAGAUUAAAAAAAAAAAAAAAAGCUUCUGAAAGGGGGAAAAUAGGCUUCCACAGAAUAAAGCUAUCAAUGGCAAUUACUUCUAUCGUUUCAAAUUGAUGUGUAUGGUAGUAACAGUUGCAGCCAUUCUUUAAACCAAAACCUGCCAAUGUGAUUUCCAAAGUGAGCACAGCAAAUAGUUUUCAGCUACUGAGUUAACAAACAUAGAGCUUGGCAUCCACUCCAAUUCCCACUGGAACAAUUUGUGACAUUACGAUAUUUCAUUUUUGUUCCAGAAAAAAAGACAACAUAAUAAAUGUUAAUUGUUAAAGAUAAGAUGGUGCUAUGUCUAAUUCCACCAAACAGCAGAGUGAACGAAGCUGUGGAGAACAAUGGAGAACAAAGAUAGUCCACCUGAGGAAAGGAGGCAGAAUCUGGCUACCUAGAAGUUAAAGAAUGAUAGCACUAUGUCAGGAUCUUUAAUAAAGCACUAAGAGAUACAAAAGACUUGCUAUGUAAAUAAGCAACUCAAUAAGUUUAAUUUUUUUUUUUUUUAACAUAAACUGAUUUUAAUAUUUUUGAUAGGUUAUCAAAUAUCCAUCAGAAGCCUAGGGGAAGAAACUGCCAGAAAAAUAUAAGCAGUUUGAAGCUUGAAUUUAUGCUGUUUUUGUGGUGGGAAACUUGCCCAAGUGUUUGAUUUUACAAAGCUGACAAGUGGUUUGGCAGUAUCCACAGAAGCUUCUGCCUUCUUUCUUUUCCCUUUUUUUUUUUUUUAAUUUGUAUUGAUCUUGCUGUUAAAUGCUAGUGAUUCAGCAUAACUCAGCCUUAGACACUUUUCAAUUAAAAAUAUUGCCAUUCUGAAAU
Lagopus leucura (white-tailed ptarmigan) is the source of this 2068-nucleotide long non-coding RNA. RefSeq lists it as uncharacterized. The transcript is spliced from 3 exons. The record is from RefSeq and is a predicted model, not a curated record. NCBI's taxonomy places the organism in Eukaryota, Metazoa, Chordata, Aves, Galliformes, Phasianidae.